This 495-nucleotide ribosomal RNA is filed under the name uncultured bacterium. Its description in RNAcentral is "partial 16S ribosomal RNA". It matches the Rfam family "Bacterial small subunit ribosomal RNA", at positions 29 to 523 of the family's 1533-position model. The record is from RNAcentral.
AAUGAACGCUAGCGGGAGGCCUAACACAUGCAAGCCGAGCGGUAUUGUUUCUUCGGAAAUGAGAGAGCGGCGUACGGGUGCGUAACACGUGUGCAACCUGCCUUUAUCUGGGGGAUAGCCUUGCGAAAGGAAGAUUAAUACUCCAUAAUAUAUUGAACGGCAUCGUUUAAUAUUGAAAGCACCGGCGGAUAGAGAUGGGCACGCGCAAGAUUAGCUAGUUGGUGAGGUAACGGCUCACCAAGGCGAUGAUCUUUAGGGGGCCUGAGAGGGUGAGCCCCCACACUGGUACUGAGACACGGACCAGACUCCUACGGGAGGCAGCAGUGAGGAAUAUUGGUCAAUGGGUGCAAGCCUGAACCAGCCAUCCCGCGUGAAGGACGACUGCCCUAUGGGUUGUAAACUUCUUUUGUAUAGGGAUAAACCUACCCUCGUGAGGGUAGCUGAAGGUACUAUACGAAUAAGCACCGGCUAACUCCGUGCCAGCCGCCGCAGUAA